AGGAUGAACGCUGGCGGCGUGCCUAACACAUGCAAGUCGAACGUCCUGUCUCGCAAGAGGCAGGGAGUGGCGGACGGGUGAGUACCACGUGGGUCAUCUACCGUGAGGUGAGGAAUACCGGCGAGAAAUCGCCGACAAGACCGCAUAGGCUCGAUGCAAGUCGAGCAAAGCUCUUUCGAGAGAGGGAGCGCCACACGAGGAGCCUGCGCCCGAUUAGCUAGCUGGUGGAGUAACGGUUCACCAGGGCGACGAUCGGUAGCUGGUCUGAGAGGACGAUCAGCCACACUGGGAUUGAGAACGGCCCAGACUCCUACGGGGGGCAGCAGUGAGGAAUUUUCGUCAAUGGGGGCAACCCUGAACGAGCAACGCCGCGUGCAGGAGAAGGUUUUCGGAUCGUAAACUGCUUUUCUCGGGGAAGAGAAUGGACGGUACCCGAGGAAUCGAGCCCCGGCUAACUACGUGCCAGCAGCCGCGGU
This 476-nucleotide ribosomal RNA is filed under the name uncultured bacterium. RNAcentral's name for it is "SSU rRNA". It matches the Rfam family "Bacterial small subunit ribosomal RNA", at positions 26 to 521 of the family's 1533-position model. The record is from RNAcentral.